This 141-nucleotide ribosomal RNA is filed under the name uncultured bacterium. RNAcentral's name for it is "partial 16S rRNA". It matches the Rfam family "Bacterial small subunit ribosomal RNA", at positions 355 to 511 of the family's 1533-position model. The record is from RNAcentral.
CGGGGAAUUUUCCGCAAUGGGCGAAAGCCUGACGGAGCAAUGCCGCGUGGAGGUGGAAGGCCUACGGGUCGUCAACUUCUUUUCUCGGAGAAGAAACAAUGACGGCAUCUGAGGAAUAAGCAUCGGCUAACUCUGUGCUAG